Molecule: ribosomal RNA, 2075 nt
Filed under: Burkholderia glumae LMG 2196 = ATCC 33617
Lineage: Bacteria; Pseudomonadati; Pseudomonadota; Betaproteobacteria; Burkholderiales; Burkholderiaceae
Description: bacterial LSU rRNA
Rfam family: Bacterial large subunit ribosomal RNA
Source: RNAcentral
UUCUCUCCGAAAACUAUUUAGGUAGUGCCUCGUGUCUCACCUUCGGGGGUAGAGCACUGUCAUGGUUGGGGGGUCUAUUGCAGAUUACCCCGCCAUAGCAAACUCCGAAUACCGAAGAGUGCAAUCACGGGAGACAGACAUCGGGUGCUAACGUCCGGUGUCAAGAGGGAAACAACCCAGACCGCCAGCUAAGGUCCCCAAAUAUGGCUAAGUGGGAAACGAAGUGGGAAGGCUAAAACAGUCAGGAGGUUGGCUUAGAAGCAGCCACCCUUUAAAGAAAGCGUAAUAGCUCACUGAUCGAGUCGUCCUGCGCGGAAGAUGUAACGGGGCUAAGCCAUAUACCGAAGCUGCGGAUGCGAGCUAGUCUCGCAUGGUAGGAGAGCGUUCCGUAAGCCUGCGAAGGUGCAUUGUAAAGUGUGCUGGAGGUAUCGGAAGUGCGAAUGCUGACAUGAGUAGCGAUAAAGGGGGUGAAAGGCCCCCUCGCCGUAAGCCCAAGGUUUCCUACGCAACGUUCAUCGGCGUAGGGUGAGUCGGCCCCUAAGGCGAGGCAGAAAUGCGUAGCUGAUGGGAAGCAGGUCAAUAUUCCUGCACCAUUGUUAAAUGCGAUGGGGGGACGGAUCGCGGAAGGUUGUCCGGGUGUUGGAAGUCCCGGUCGCUGCAUUGGAGAAGGCGCUUAGGCAAAUCCGGGCGCGGAAUUCAAGGGUGUGGCGCGAGCUUCUUCGGAAGCGAAGCAAUCGGAAGUGGUUCCAAGAAAAGCCUCUAAGCUUCAGUUUAACAGUGACCGUACCGCAAACCGACACAGGUGGGCGAGAUGAGUAUUCUAAGGCGCUUGAGAGAACUCGGGAGAAGGAACUCGGCAAAUUGGUACCGUAACUUCGGGAUAAGGUACGCCCCUGUAGCUUGACUGGCCUGCGCCAGAAGGGUGAAGGGGUUGCAAUAAACUGGUGGCUGCGACUGUUUAAUAAAAACACAGCACUCUGCAAACACGAAAGUGGACGUAUAGGGUGUGACGCCUGCCCGGUGCCGGAAGAUUAAAUGAUGGGGUGCAAGCUCUUGAUUGAAGUCCCGGUAAACGGCGGCCGUAACUAUAACGGUCCUAAGGUAGCGAAAUUCCUUGUCGGGUAAGUUCCGACCUGCACGAAUGGCGUAACGAUGGCCACACUGUCUCCUCCCGAGACUCAGCGAAGUUGAAGUGUUUGUGAUGAUGCAAUCUCCCCGCGGCUAGACGGAAAGACCCCAUGAACCUUUACUGUAGCUUUGCAUUGGACUUUGAACCGAUCUGUGUAGGAUAGGUGGGAGGCUAUGAAACCGGAACGCUAGUUUCGGUGGAGCCGUCCUUGAAAUACCACCCUGGUUUGUUUGAGGUUCUAACCUUGGCCCGUGAUCCGGGUCGGGGACAGUGCAUGGUAGGCAGUUUGACUGGGGCGGUCUCCUCCCAAAGUGUAACGGAGGAGUACGAAGGUACGCUAGGUACGGUCGGAAAUCGUGCUGAUAGUGCAAUGGCAUAAGCGUGCUUAACUGCGAGACCGACAAGUCGAGCAGGUGCGAAAGCAGGUCAUAGUGAUCCGGUGGUUCUGUAUGGAAGGGCCAUCGCUCAACGGAUAAAAGGUACUCUGGGGAUAACAGGCUGAUACCGCCCAAGAGUUCAUAUCGACGGCGGUGUUUGGCACCUCGAUGUCGGCUCAUCUCAUCCUGGGGCUGUAGCCGGUCCCAAGGGUAUGGCUGUUCGCCAUUUAAAGAGGUACGUGAGCUGGGUUUAAAACGUCGUGAGACAGUUUGGUCCCUAUCUGCCGUGGGCGUUGGAUAUUUGAAGGGGGCUGCUCCUAGUACGAGAGGACCGGAGUGGACGAACCUCUGGUGUACCGGUUGUCACGCCAGUGGCAUCGCCGGGUAGCUAUGUUCGGAAGAGAUAACCGCUGAAAGCAUCUAAGCGGGAAACUCGCCUUAAGAUGAGAUAUCCCCGGGGACUUGAUCCCCUUGAAGGGUCGUUCGAGACCAGGACGUUGAUAGGUCAGGUGUGUAAGCGCAGUAAUGCGUUCAGCUAACUGAUACUAAUUGCCCGUAAGGCUUGAUCC